AGUGAACGCUGGCGGUAGGCCUAACACAUGCAAGUCGAACGGCAGCACAGUAAGAGCUUGCUCUUACGGGUGGCGAGUGGCGGACGGGUGAGGAAUACAUCGGAAUCUACUUUUUCGUGGGGGAUAACGUAGGGAAACUUACGCUAAUACCGCAUACGACCUACGGGUGAAAGCAGGGGAUCUUCGGACCUUGCGCGAUUGAAUGAGCCGAUGUCGGAUUAGCUAGUUGGCGGGGUAAAGGCCCACCAAGGCGACGAUCCGUAGCUGGUCUGAGAGGAUGAGCAGCCACACUGGAACUGAGACACGGUACAGACGCCUACGGGAGGCAGCAGUGGGGAAUAUUGGACAAAGGGCGCAAGCCUGAUCAAGCCAGACCGCGUGGGUGAAGAAGGACUUCGGGUGGUAAAGCCCUUUUGUUGGGAAAGAAAAGCAGCAGGUUAAUAACCCGCUGUUCUGAAGGUACACAAAGAAUAAGCAACGGCUAACUUAGUG
RNAcentral lists this ribosomal RNA (492 nucleotides) under uncultured bacterium. Its description in RNAcentral is "partial 16S ribosomal RNA". It matches the Rfam family "Bacterial small subunit ribosomal RNA", at positions 29 to 507 of the family's 1533-position model. The record is from RNAcentral.